Molecule: RNA transcript, 553 nt
Organism: Python bivittatus (Burmese python)
Lineage: Eukaryota; Metazoa; Chordata; Lepidosauria; Squamata; Pythonidae
Gene name: NADH dehydrogenase [ubiquinone] 1 subunit C2
Source: RefSeq, a predicted model, not a curated record
AUGCAGCUCCGCUUCGCGGUCCCGGACCAGGCGCGCUCGCUGCCGCCGCCGCCGCUGCUCAACUUCCCCUCCGUCUGGACGGCGGGCUGCUUCUGGCUCAGCGCCCUGCUGGACAACGGCAUCAACCGCAGGCCCGUCCUGCGAGCCGGUCUCCAUCGUCAAGUCCUGAUGGCCACUCUGGGGUUUUGUUUGGGCUACUACCUGAAGAGAUAUUCCAAUUACUACUACGCCGAGCGGGACAGAGAGCUUUUCAGUUACGUAAAGGAACAUCCCGAGGACUUUGUGAAAAAAGAACCAAGAAAGGUGGGAGAUAUUCUGGAAGACUUCGUCCCAAUUCGCUGAAGACUGUGAGCAGAUCCUGUCUUAUUCAUGGCGUCUUUCCAUGCUACUCUUGCGCGUGGAAGCCUUCGGGGUCAAAUUGCCUGCUGAUAGAUGUGGAUUCUCUUCUACUUGAAUCACCUGAUAGAAAAAUUAUGUUUGGGUCCUUAGAGACAGGCCCGGAUUAUGACCUGCUAAGGCCUUAAAACUAGGUUAAUAAUAAAUUGUAAUUAAA